Molecule: unclassified non-coding RNA, 192 nt
Filed under: plant metagenome
Description: partial contains small subunit ribosomal RNA, internal transcribed spacer 1, and 5.8S ribosomal RNA
Source: RNAcentral
UUUCCGUAGGUGAACCUGCGGAAGGAUCAUUAACGAGUAAGAACCUUCGGGACUUUCUUAUCCAAAGACCUGUGAAAGUUGAUUUUUGCUUUGAGAAUUUAAUUAUUCCCAACAAUCAAAACCACUAAGUGGUCUUUUUUCUGAAUGAUUAUUUAAAAAUCAAAACUUUCAACAACGGAUCUCUUGGUUCUC